UACGUAGGGCGCGAGCGUUGUCCGGAAUUAUUGGGCGUAAAGAGCUUGUAGGCGGUUUGUCGCGUCUGCUGUGAAAGCCCGGGGCUUAACCCCGGGUUUGCAGUGGGUACGGGCUAACUAGAGUGCAGUAGGGGAGACUGGAAUUCCUGGUGUAGCGGUGGAAUGCGCAGAUAUCAGGAGGAACACCGAUGGCGAAGGCAGGUCUCUGGGCUGUAACUGACGCUGAGAAGCGAAAGCAUGGGGAGCAA
RNAcentral lists this ribosomal RNA (248 nucleotides) under uncultured Rothia sp. Its description in RNAcentral is "partial 16S ribosomal RNA". It matches the Rfam family "Bacterial small subunit ribosomal RNA", at positions 524 to 771 of the family's 1533-position model. Lineage: Bacteria; Bacillati; Actinomycetota; Actinomycetes; Micrococcales; Micrococcaceae. The record is from RNAcentral.